AGCAGCCGCGGUAAUUCCAGCUCCAAUAGCGUAUAUUAAAGUUGUUGCAGUUAAAAAGCUCGUAGUUGAAUUUCGGGAUCAGUACGCCGGUCGUGCCUUCGGUAUGCACUGGUGUCACUGAUUCCUCCCUUCUGAAGAACCGUUAUGCCAUUUAUUUGGUGUGGCGGGGAAUCAGGACUGUUACUUUGAAAAAAUUAGAGUGUUUAAAGCAGGCUCGCGCUUGAAUACAUUAGCAUGGAAUAAUGAAAUAGGACGUUUGAUCUUAUUUUGUUGGUUUCUAGGACAACCGUAAUGAUUAAUAGGGAUAGUUGGGGGCAUUAGUAUUCAAUUGUCAGAGGUGAAAUUCUUGGAUUUAUUGAAGACUAACUACUGCGAAAGCAUUUGCCAAGGAUGUUUUCAUUAAUCAAGAACGAAAGUUAGGGGAUCGAAGACGAUCAGAUACCGUCGUAG
Molecule: ribosomal RNA, 450 nt
Filed under: uncultured Glomeromycotina
Lineage: Eukaryota; Fungi; Glomeromycota
Description: SSU rRNA
Rfam family: Eukaryotic small subunit ribosomal RNA
Source: RNAcentral